This 1361-nucleotide ribosomal RNA is filed under the name Vibrio sp. MSSRF N6. RNAcentral's name for it is "bacterial SSU rRNA". It matches the Rfam family "Bacterial small subunit ribosomal RNA", at positions 82 to 1439 of the family's 1533-position model. The record is from RNAcentral. Lineage: Bacteria; Pseudomonadati; Pseudomonadota; Gammaproteobacteria; Vibrionales; Vibrionaceae.
AUAACGGCGUCGAGCGGCGGACGGGUGAGUAAUGCCUAGGAAAUUGCCCUGAUGUGGGGGAUAACCAUUGGAAACGAUGGCUAAUACCGCAUGAUGCCUACGGGCCAAAGAGGGGGACCUUCGGGCCUCUCGCGUCAGGAUAUGCCUAGGUGGGAUUAGCUAGUUGGUGAGGUAAGGGCUCACCAAGGCGACAAUCCCUAGCUGGUCUGAGAGGAUGAUCAGCCACACUGGAACUGAGACACGGUCCAAACUCCUACGGGAGGCAGCAGUGGGGAAUAUUGCACAAUGGGCGCAAGCCUGAUGCAGCCAUGCCGCGUGUGUGAAGAAGGCCUUCGGGUUGUAAAGCACUUUCAGUCGUGAGGAAGGUAGUGUAGUUAAUAGCUGCAUUAUUUGACGUUAGCGACAGAAGAAGCACCGGCUAACUCCGUGCCAGCAGCCGCGGUAAUACGGAGGGUGCGAGCGUUAAUCGGAAUUACUGGGCGUAAAGCGCAUGCAGGUGGUUUGUUAAGUCAGAUGUGAAAGCCCGGGGCUCAACCUCGGAAUUGCAUUUGAAACUGGCAGACUAGAUUACUGUAGAGGGGGGUAGAAUUUCAGGUGUAGCGGUGAAAUGCGUAAAGAUCUGAAGGAAUACCGGUGGCGAAGGCGGCCCCCUGGACAGAUACUGACACUCAGAUGCGAAAGCGUGGGGAGCAAACAGGAUUAGAUACCCUGGUAGUCCACGCCGUAAACGAUGUCUACUUGGAGGUUGUGGCCUUGAGCCGUGGCUUUCGGAGCUAACGCGUUAAGUAGACCGCCUGGGGAGUACGGUCGCAAGAUUAAAACUCAAAUGAAUUGACGGGGGCCCGCACAAGCGGUGGAGCAUGUGGUUUAAUUCGAUGCAACGCGAAGAACCUUACCUACUCUUGACAUCCAGAGAACUUUCCAGAGAUGGAUUGGUGCCUUCGGGAACUCUGAGACAGGUGCUGCAUGGCUGUCGUCAGCUCGUGUUGUGAAAUGUUGGGUUAAGUCCCGCAACGAGCGCAACCCUUAUCCUUGUUUGCCAGCGAGUAAUGUCGGGAACUCCAGGGAGACUGCCGGUGAUAAACCGGAGGAAGGUGGGGACGACGUCAAGUCAUCAUGGCCCUUACGAGUAGGGCUACACACGUGCUACAAUGGCGCAUACAGAGGGCGGCCAACUUGCGAAAGUGAGCGAAUCCCAAAAAGUGCGUCGUAGUCCGGAUUGGAGUCUGCAACUCGACUCCAUGAAGUCGGAAUCGCUAGUAAUCGUGGAUCAGAAUGCCACGGUGAAUACGUUCCCGGGCCUUGUACACACCGCCCGUCACACCAUGGGAGUGGGCUGCAAAAGAAGUAGGUAGUUUAAC